RNAcentral lists this ribosomal RNA (418 nucleotides) under uncultured bacterium. RNAcentral's name for it is "bacterial SSU rRNA". It matches the Rfam family "Bacterial small subunit ribosomal RNA", at positions 355 to 776 of the family's 1533-position model. The record is from RNAcentral.
UGGGGAAUAUUGGACAAUGGGCGAAAGCCUGAUCCAGCAAUACCGCGUGUGUGACGAAGGCCUGCGGGUUGUAAAGCACUUUAGUGGGGGAAGAAGCGUACGCAAGUACGUUGACGGUACCCCAAGAAUAAGCACCGGCUAACUCUGUGCCAGCAGCCGCGGUAAUACAGAGGGUGCGAGCGUUAAUCGGAAUGACUGGGCGUAAAGGGCGCGUAGGCGGUAAUGUGUGUUAGAUGUGAAAGCCCCGGGCUUAACCCGGGAAUGGCAUUUAAAACUGCAUUGCUAGAGUGAAGUAGAGGUGAGCGGAAUUUCCAGAGUAGCGGUGAAAUGCGUAGAUACUGGAAGGAACACCGGUGGCGAAGGCGGCUCACUGGACUUUUACUGACGCUGAGGCGCGAAAGCGUGGGGAGCAAACAGG